RNAcentral lists this ribosomal RNA (254 nucleotides) under uncultured bacterium. Its description in RNAcentral is "partial 16S ribosomal RNA". It matches the Rfam family "Bacterial small subunit ribosomal RNA", at positions 524 to 776 of the family's 1533-position model. The record is from RNAcentral.
CACGUAGGGAGCAAGCGUUGUCCGGAUUUAUUGGGCGUAAAGAGCUCGUAGGUGGUUCGGUAAGUCAGGUGUGAAACCUCCAGGCUCAACCUGGAGACGCCACUUGAUACUGCUGUGACUGGAGUCCGGUAGGGGAGCGUGGAAUUCCUGGUGUAGCGGUGAAAUGCGCAGAUAUCAGGAGGAACACCAGCGGCGAAGGCGGCCAUCUGGACCAGCACUGACGCUGAGGCACGAAAGCGUGGGGAGCAAACAGG